Long non-coding RNA from Triticum dicoccoides, 3819 nucleotides. RefSeq lists it as uncharacterized. NCBI's taxonomy places the organism in Eukaryota, Viridiplantae, Streptophyta, Magnoliopsida, Poales, Poaceae. The transcript is spliced from 5 exons. The record is from RefSeq and is a predicted model, not a curated record.
CUUUCCCUACAUUACUGCAAGAGGCUGUUUCCAGGACUUGAACCCGUGACCUCAUGGUCACAAGGCAACAGCUUUACCACUGCGCCAAGGCUCCCCUUCAGUUGUUAACUGAAACAAUAAUGUUAAUUUUUGUUGUUAGCUGAAACAAUAAUGUUAAUUUUUGUUAACUACAAACUGUCUUGGACAUUGGUUUUUUCAAAUUAACUCCGUGUUGAACUGGUUCUUCUUGUUGUGUGCUGCAGCCCAGCAAUCUGUUCAUGCCAAAUGAUUGAGUCCUGGUGAGGUUCAUUGCUGGACAUGCAUGGUCUCCGCAGGCAAGGAACACAUAAAAGUAAUUCAGCGUGUUAUCAGAAACUCAUGAGCAUGAAAGAGAAAUUUGGAUCAUGUUCGAACAUGGUAGAGAGCAGAUCGAGGAGAACUUGAAGAUUAAAGGCAAUGAAAGGUCUAUACACAUUAGCAUCCGAACCAGAACAAUCAAGUUCAAAGCUCUCAUGGUUGACUGGAGAAAAUCAAAGGAGGUGUGAGUUCGGAAGUAAUACCUGGACUACCUAUGGGGAGUUCUAUGGUUGACAUAGAGGGGAUUGUUGCUUCAUGUAUAAUUAGGCCGCUCAAUGGUUGUGGGUCAGCUGCAAUGGCUUGCGAAAGGAGUUGUUCAAAUUAGUAAAAAUUCAAUAUGAAAGGCAUUUAAAGAUUGUCUCAGAGUUAUACCUAGACUCCCUUUGGGUAGUUCAAUGGUUGAGGGCGAUGGGGUUGGUGCUUCGCGAAUAAACAGUCCGCUUGAUGGUUGUGGGUCAGAUCGGUUGUCUUGCGAAAGGGACUUUGCUAAUUAGUAAGAAACAUAAUUGAAGGUGAAUUACUAAAAACAAUACACAUAUUCCAUAUACCUGGACCCUCUUUGGGGAGUAUAUUAACAUUGGUGUCUUCACCAAGAGUGAGUCGGAGGCCAUUUGUCGCAUCCAUCUGUCGCUGUCGGUCUUCCUGCUGUUUCUUCUUCUGAUAAGAUUCUCGUCUCUUUGUGUUCAACUUAUCCUUUUGUUCUUGGUACCCUUGCUCUUCUUUUUUCUUCUUAUAAGUUGCUCUUCUCCGUGCGUUAAUGACAUCCCUUUCUUCCUUUGAUAAGGUCCCUUUACGUUGGCCAGCACGGCCCCUCGUAGCUCCAACUGUUGUUGUAGGUAUACACACAUUAGCAUCCGAUUUUGAAGAGUAAUAGUAUUUCUGGAUAAAAUCAUGCACCACCAGGGUUGCAAUAUAUUAAUUAUAUACCAAACCAGAUUACUCGCAACAAUCCCCUCUGAUGGAUUAAAUUUACCGCUUCAUUAUAUUUAGAAAUCUGAAGGAGGUGUGAGUUCGGAAGCUAUACCUGGACUACCUUUGUGGUGUUCUAUGGUUGACACAGAGGGGAUUGGUGCUUCAUGUAUAAUCAGGCUGCUCGAUGGUCGUGGGUCAUAUGCAACGGCUUGCGAAAGGGAUUGUUCAAAUUAGUAAUCACCAAUAUCGAAGGCAUUUAAAUAUUGUUAAUGAGUUAUACCUGGACUCCAUUUCGGGAGUUCUAUGGUCGAGGGAGACAGGACAUCUGCUUCAUGAAUAAACAAGCCGCUCGAUGGUUGUGGGCCAGCUGCAAUGGCUUGCGAAAGGGAUUGUUCAGAUUAGUAAUUUAACAAUCACCAAAUACCAAUAAAUUAUCAAUUCAAUAUACCUGGACCCUCUUUGGGGAGUCUAUCAACAUUGGUGAUAUCACCAAGAGGUUGUCGGAGCCCAGUUGUCGCCUCCAUUUGUCGCUGUCGGUGUUGCUUAGCAAUAUUCACCCUUUCCCAACGAGAACCAAAUGGGGUCAAGUCGUUUGAGGACAUCACUAUCAGAGACAAUUGUCAUUGGCAAAGCAGAUCAAUAAGUACCGUAUACUAUAUUUAACGCACUUUAAUCUACAUUGAACAGAAGUAAAGUAAGUUCUUGGCAUGUUAGGUACAAUAAUGCUUCUCUUCAGUUUUUGUGCCCAAUAACCAGCAUUGUCAUCUAAUGCAUUGCUUGCUACAGGUUCCGUAAAAUGGCAGCGGGUAGAGUUCUUGUUCUACACAAAGGAUGUUAACUAACCUUCUUGUAUUAUCUUUAUAUCUGCAUGAUUUUGGUAGAUUGAGUUGUGCAAUGGAUUAACUACUUUGGUUCAAGUUUUCUUCUUCCUAGGCUGGUCGAGAUUAAGAAAAGCAAAAAAAAAUAAAAAACAUAGGAGAGUAGAAGAAACCACACAGAAAAGCAUAGAGUCAGGGGGCAGCAUCAUCUCGUCCUCCAUUAGUAGUAAUUUUUCUCGGACACAAAUCUUAUUUCUCAUACGCCAUUGACAAGACAAACUUGCUUGGAGUUUUGGCUCCAGGGAGCAUAUACUCCCUGGUGAACAGUAAAUAGAAAACAAAAUCCUGAAGAUGGAUCUUGUUUUGUAAACACAAUAAAUUUUCAAAAUCCUGAAGUUUUUCUGUAGACUUUCAUGUUAGUGUAACAAGCGUGCUUGCCAAUUAUUUCGGUCUACUCCUUGCUCUUGCUUUGGUGUCAUCACUCUACUUCUCUCCAUACAGUUUCACCCUGACAUGAAAAGCUAGUUCUUAUUAUCCAUGUCAUUUGUUUUUGUAUGCAUUGGUAACACUCAUAUGUACAUAUGUGCUCCUCAAAUAUUUGGAUUUUGAACCACCAGACCAUUCAAAUAAAUGCAUGGACUCUUACCUAGAUAUAAAUAAAUGGCAGGGAUAGUUGCAUCAGUACAUGCUUGAGGAACACUAUGUUUGACCACGAAGAUAGGUUUGUGCCAAGUACUAAUUUGUGAUUUGUGACAAGUACUGAUUUGUCACAAGUAUAUAUACAAACUGAAGAUAGUUCCAUCAGUAUAUAUAAAAACUGAAGAUAGUCAACUAAGUGCAUAUAAGUGCAUACUGGAUUCCAUAUCAAUUAUGUACCACAGUUAUUUUAACAAGCUCUUGAUAAUUAAAAAAAAAGGAACACUAUGGAGCAUGUACUCCCUCUUUUCCAAAUUACUCGUCGCAGAAAUUGAUGUAUCUAGAACUAAAAUACAUCUAGAUACAUCCAUACAUGCGACAAGUAAUUCGGAAUGGAGGGAGUAUAUAGCAAAUUAUCCUCUGUGAGCCAUGUUCUUGCUACAGAUUACUUCGGUAGAACGUCAGAUAAAUUAUAGCCGGGGUUAGGAUACCUCUCGAGAAGCAGUAAGUUUUCGAAAGGGUUGAAUGUAUACAUAUGUCAAGCCUUGCUAUGCAUUGGUUGUAUACUUAAAGCAGUUGAGUACUUACUUUGAACAGGUAUAUGCCUCGCUAGCACACAAGAACAGUCAGCUCCAUGUAUGAAUCGGACGAACAGUUGGGGCUAUGUCACACCACCAAUCGAACAGUUCCGCGCCAGGACCCUUGUCUCACUCGCAGCCGCGCCGGCACCCGUGGAUCACUGGAAGCCAGGCCGGCACCCGUGUCUAGCUGGCAGCCGCGCCCGGCACCGGGGGCAAAGUUUGAAGAAACAGGCCUCGCACACCUGAUCCGACGACAAACUUUGAAGAAACAGUUCAAAUCCACAUGAUCCGAACGCAAACCUGGAAGCAUGGAGAAUCAGGCCUUGCUCGCCCCGCUCGGAAGAUAGGAUUUGGAAAUUGUUUGUUGUAUAUGGAAAGAGCAAAAAUAUUAGAUUAAACUGUUGUUUAUGGAAGCUUCUCGUGACGGAAUUUUCUGAUAUGGUUCCAUAUGAUUUGAUUUGAUUGGUGUCGUAAAUUGAAGGGAAGGACGGAAGGUUUGUUGUUUUAUAUGGAAAGGGGAUGGAACGUUUGGCUUG